This 60-nucleotide non-coding RNA is filed under the name Mus musculus (house mouse). The record is from miRBase by way of RNAcentral. Lineage: Eukaryota; Metazoa; Chordata; Mammalia; Rodentia; Muridae. RNAcentral also lists the same sequence under 1 other name.
UAUGUCACUGGGCAUUGGCUUUGAGGUUUCAAAUGCUCAAGCCAGGCCCAGUGUCACUCU